UCCUGGUUUUAAAAGGCGUACGAAAAUAUCGCUCGCCUGGGUAUGGGCGAACUCACAUACAAUAGGCGCCAUGAGGCGGGCGCCUCCGAGUAGGGCGCCGGCCGCAGCGCCUAUCGCUUAUGGUAUCUGUUUUCACCUUUUAUUAUAUUAAUAAAUAAUUAUAAUUUUAAACCUAAAAAAGCCUACCUUUUAAAAUCCAAAAUCCCUAACUUAUCUCUCUCCAUCGCACACACUCCAGCUGAUCUCUUCUUCGUCGGCAGUCACGGCUGUCACAGCAGUCACCACUGCCGGGCGCCGACCAGGUAGGAUUUAAUAUGAGGAAGGUAACUAAAGGAAAUGUUACGAUAAAGUUAUGGGAUCUUGAAGGUCAACCAAGGUUUCGAAGUGUGUGGGACAGAUACUGCCGGGCUGUUUCAGCUAUUUUGUUUAUGUUGUUGUUGCUGCCGACAACGAUAAGUUUCAAGAAGAGAAGUGCACGACCUGUUAAGUAAAUCCUCAUCAAGUGGCAUUCCCCUACUUUGUGGGAAACAAGAUAGACAAAUCAGAAGCCUUGUCUAAGGAGAAUUUGACGGAGCAAUGUAAGUGCAGAGUUAAGAAGAAAACCUUGGUGCUUAAACAAAGGUAACCUGACGUAACCAAAGCCGAAUCAUAAGUAUUAUAUAUAAAUUUGUUUGGUGGGUGAGUCGGGCAUAAAUUUGGUUGAUCCUUUGUGUACAGAUGCUGAUGGUUUGUAAACAAAUAAAAAGGAUUUUGAUGCACUUCAAAUUUUUUGGGGGUUUGAAACAUAAAGGUAUCAUACUCAAAGUCAACUCAACUAACUAAACCCAACUAAAUAAUAAAACCUAAAUCCGAUUACCCAAUUAAAUAGUAAAAGCGAAACUAAAAAAAAAGACUAAACGUAACUUACUAAUACUAUCUUCACUUCUCGGUUCACACGAGUCACGGCAGAGGGUAGAGCAAUUGGCAGAAUUGGUCACCAAUG
Molecule: long non-coding RNA, 982 nt
Organism: Hibiscus syriacus
Lineage: Eukaryota; Viridiplantae; Streptophyta; Magnoliopsida; Malvales; Malvaceae
Exons: 3
Source: RefSeq, a predicted model, not a curated record